Molecule: ribosomal RNA, 253 nt
Filed under: uncultured Terrimonas sp.
Lineage: Bacteria; Pseudomonadati; Bacteroidota; Chitinophagia; Chitinophagales; Chitinophagaceae
Description: partial 16S ribosomal RNA
Rfam family: Bacterial small subunit ribosomal RNA
Source: RNAcentral
UACGGAGGGUGCAAGCGUUAUCCGGAUUCACUGGGUUUAAAGGGUGCGUAGGUGGACUGGUAAGUCAGUGGUGAAAUCCCCGAGCUUAACUUGGGAACUGCCAUUGAUACUAUUAGUCUUGAAUACCGUGGAGGUCAGCGGAAUAUGUCAUGUAGCGGUGAAAUGCAUAGAUAUGACAUAGAACACCCAUUGCGAAGGCAGCUGACUACGCGGAGAUUGACACUAAGGCACGAAAGCGUGGGGAUCAAACAGG